RNAcentral lists this ribosomal RNA (820 nucleotides) under human gut metagenome. Its description in RNAcentral is "bacterial LSU rRNA". It matches the Rfam family "Bacterial large subunit ribosomal RNA", at positions 1109 to 2010 of the family's 2925-position model. The record is from RNAcentral.
GAAGCAGCCACUCAUUCAAAGAGUGCGUAAUAGCUCACUGGUCGAGUGAUUUUGCGCCGAAAAUUUAACGGGGCUAAACUGUACACCGAAGCUUGGGAAUAUACCUCUGGUAUGUUGGUAGGAGAGCGUCGUAUGCGGGGUGAAGUCGUAGCGAAAGCGGCGGUGGACUGCAUAGGAGUGAGAAUGCCGGAAUGAGUAGCGAGAAUUAUGUGAGAAUCAUAAUGGCCGAAAGACUAAGGUUUUAGAAGGAAGGUUCGUCCGCUUCUAGUUAGCCGGGAGCUAAGGCGAGGCCGAAAGGCGUAGUCGAUGCACAUACGGUUGAGAUUCCGUAGCCACCUUAAAUUUAAACUAAGGGACACAUUGAAAGGGAAUAACCCAGGCGUUGGUUGACCUGGGCGUAAGGGAACGAAAAUAAGUAGUGAAGUAUUCUUGGACAGUGGCGAGAAAAGUUUAGUGUAUAUUAUUAGGGUGCCCGUACUGCAAACCGACACAGGUAGUCAGGAAGAGAAUUCUAAGGCCAUCGGGAGAAGCGUUGUUAAGGAACUCGGCAAAUUGACCCCGUAACUUCGGAAUAAGGGGUGCUCACGCGAGUGAGCCGCAGUGAAUAGGUCCAGGCAACUGUUUAUCAAAAACNCAGCUCUCUGCUAAAUCGUAAGAUGACGUAUAGGGGGUGACACCUGCCCGGUGCUGGAAGGUUAAGAGGAGGAGUGCAAGCCCCGAAUCGAAGCCCCAGUAAACGGCGGCCGUAACUAUAACGGUCCUAAGGUAGCGAAAUUCCUUGUCGGGUAAGUUCCGACCCGCACGAAUGGUGUAAUGAUCU